This 1599-nucleotide long non-coding RNA is filed under the name Camarhynchus parvulus. RNAcentral's name for it is "lncRNA (ENSCPVG00000017432.1)". The record is from RNAcentral. Lineage: Eukaryota; Metazoa; Chordata; Aves; Passeriformes; Thraupidae.
AUGGGGGUGCUUUCUCUGAGCAGUCACCCAGGAGUCACUGUACAGGUGCCACCCCAGAGCAGAGCUGUCCCCCCACGGCUGUGCUCCGAGCCUGCACUCCUCCUCCUCCUCCUCCCUUUCUGUCUUUGCCCUGUUCUGGCUCCAGCACAGCAGCUGCUCUGCUGCCCUGCCUCUUCCUCCCCCAGUCCCUGUGAGGACACAAUUAAAGGGCUCUGGUUUCACCCUUGCUCUUUGCUGCCUUUGUCUGGCUGUGGGACGGGUGCCACCAGGGUGUUGGGGACAUGGGCUCCUGCCAGCCCUCUCUGCCUGCGGCCAGCCGCCACUGCAGGGGACGGGCUCCACGUCCUGCUCCACCACAGCCCUCCCAGGGCCACCUCCUUCCCUCCCUCCUCCACGCUGGGGUCCUUCUGGGCAGCACAGAGGGCUUGGUGCUCAGGCCGGGGCGCUGAGGGGAGCCCUGGGCAGCGAGUGGCACCGUCACUGCGGGCAGCAGCAGCAGCAGGGUCCUUUGUCCUUGCUCAGGACCCUCUCUGCCCUGCCAGGACUGCUGUGGGUCCGGCUGGCCCCGCAGAGCCCCGUGCUGGGGCAAAGCAGCUGAUGGCUCUCGGGGCUCUGGCGAGGCUGUUUCUCACACAGUGGUGGCUCCUGCUCCUGGCGCUGCAGCCCUUCCAGCUCACUGCCCCACGGUGCUGGCAGUAUCUGCCCGCCGAGGCCCGUGCCCCUGCAGCCCCAGGGCUGUGUCUGUUGGCAGCUCACCAGCCAACGCCUCCAGUGGCUUUUUUGAUGUCCCAGAACAGGCUGUGCAGGAAGUUCAGUGCACGGGUCCAGCUGGGAGCGAGGCAUUGCUGGUCCCUCGGGGGAAUCCUGCCGGGACACGCCAUCUCUGCGGAGCUCACCGCUUCCCCCAGCCCUGUGCUGGCACUGCCGGUGCUUCCCAGUUGUGUGAGGGCUCAAAACCAGCACUGGCUGCAAUCCCAGGCCUCGCCCUCAGCCACCACGGAGGCAGGUCCUGCUGGCAAAGUGUGCAGGGUCAGCCCACAGCAGAGUGGGAUGGGGAGAUGGGGACAAGGACCCGAUGCUCCCUGCAUGGGCAGUGGGUGCCACAUGCAGCACAACACCGUGGUCCUGGGAAGGGGCCUGUCACAGCCUCUCUCCUGCUGGGGGCUGCCUUCUUCCCAGCUCCAGGCCCUACAUUUUCUUACUCCUGGUCACCUCUGCCUCCUGUUUCUCAUGGUGCCAGGAUGGCCCCACUGCUCUGUGCUCCCCCACCACAGGGCCUCCUGCACCACACUGCCACGGCACGGGCCUCAGGCACGGCCCCGGGACAGCCCAGGGCUGCCAGCAGGUCACAGGGACACCGCCACUGUCCCUGCAGGGCCCCGCGUGCCCUGGCCCAGUGCUCAGCCAAGCACAGAGGAGGGGACUCCACAGAGCUAUGGCCAGCACAGCCCUCUGCCCCCGCUGGAGGCACGGGCAGAUCUUCCUCUGACUGCAGAGAGAGCCAGACGAGGCUGCUCUCCACGGGGCCAGCCGGGAUGGUUCUGGCCUAGCAAGGCACUGAGCCCUGCCGCACACACGUGUCUGAAGGACUUUAUAUAA